This 253-nucleotide ribosomal RNA is filed under the name uncultured bacterium. RNAcentral describes it as "partial 16S ribosomal RNA". It matches the Rfam family "Bacterial small subunit ribosomal RNA", at positions 524 to 776 of the family's 1533-position model. The record is from RNAcentral.
UACGAAGGGGGCUAGCGUCGCUCGGAAUCACUGGGCGUAAAGCGCGCGUAGGCGGAUCGUUAAGUCGGGGGUGAAAUCCUGGAGCUCAACUCCAGAACUGCCUUUGAUACUGGCGAUCUUGAGUCCGGGAGAGGUGAGUGGAACUCCGAGUGUAGAGGUGAAAUUCGUAGAUAUUCGGAAGAACACCAGUGGCGAAGGCGGCUCACUGGCCCGGUACUGACGCUGAGGUGCGAAAGCGUGGGGAGCAAACAGG